GAGGCGCUGGUCUGCGGUGGUGUGACGGCGCUGCCGGUGCCGGAACGUCUCGGCGGCGACGGCGUGGGCCUAUUCGAAGUCGGCGCGCUGCUC
Molecule: transfer RNA, 93 nt
Filed under: Mycobacterium tuberculosis variant bovis
Lineage: Bacteria; Bacillati; Actinomycetota; Actinomycetes; Mycobacteriales; Mycobacteriaceae
Also listed under: 4 other names
Description: tRNA-Gly
Source: RNAcentral